CCUGGCUCAGGAUGAACGCUGGCGGCGUGCCUAACACAUGCAAGUCGAACGAGAGAUCGUUUCGGAAGUUUUCGGAUGGAAGAGACGAUCUCGAGUGGCGGACGGGUGAGUAACACGUGGGUAACCUGCCUUACAGAGGGGGAUAACAGGGAGAAAUCCCUGCUAAUACCGCAUAAGCACACAGCACCGCAUGGUGCAGGGUGAAAAGAUCUAUCGCUGUAAGAUGGACCCGCGUCUGAUUAGCCAGUUGGCAGGGUAACGGCCUACCAAAGCGACGAUCAGUAGCCGACCUGAGAGGGUGAUCGGCCACAUUGGGACUGAGACACGGCCCAAACUCCUACGGGAGGCAGCAGUGGGGGAUAUUGCACAAUGGGGGAAACCCUGAUGCAGCGACGCCGCGUGAGUGAAGAAGUAUCUCGGUAUGUAAAGCUCUAUCAGCAGGGAAGAUAAUGACAGUACCUGACUAAGAAGCCCCGGCUAACUACGUGCC
This 490-nucleotide ribosomal RNA is filed under the name uncultured bacterium. RNAcentral's name for it is "bacterial SSU rRNA". It matches the Rfam family "Bacterial small subunit ribosomal RNA", at positions 18 to 509 of the family's 1533-position model. The record is from RNAcentral.